RNAcentral lists this ribosomal RNA (426 nucleotides) under uncultured bacterium. Its description in RNAcentral is "bacterial SSU rRNA". It matches the Rfam family "Bacterial small subunit ribosomal RNA", at positions 355 to 776 of the family's 1533-position model. The record is from RNAcentral.
UCGAGAAUCUUCGGCAAUGGGCGCAAGCCUGACCGAGCGACGCCGCGUGUGGGAUGAAGGCCUUCGGGUUGUAAACCACUGUCAACGGGGAGGAAAUACAGGAGGGUCAUCCCUCUUGUUUGACCUAUCUGUGGAGGAAGUACGGGCUAAGUUCGUGCCAGCAGCCGCGGUAAGACGAACCGUACGAACGUUAUUCGGAAUUACUGGGCUUAAAGGGUGCGUAGGCUGCGUGGAAAGUUGGGUGUGAAAGCCCUCAGCUCAACUGAGGAAUUGCACUCAAAACUACCAUGCUCGAGGGAGACAGAGGUAAGCGGAACUCAAGGUGGAGCGGUGAAAUGCGUUGAUAUCUUGAGGAACACCGGUGGCGAAGGCGGCUUACUGGGUCUUUUCUGACGCUGAGGCACGAAAGCCAAGGUAGCAAACGGG